CCUACGGGAGACAGCAGUGGGGAAUAUUGCACAAUGGGGGAAACCCUGAUGCAGCGACGCCGCGUGAGUGAAGAAGUAAUUCGUUACGUAAAGCUCUAUCAGCAGGGAAGAAACACUGACCUUACGGGCAGCAGACGGUACCUGAGUAAGAAGCCCCGGCUAACUACGUGCCAGCAGCCGCGGUAAUACGUAGGGGGCAAGCGUUAUCCGGAUUUACUGGGUGUAAAGGGAGCGUAGACGGUGCACCAAGUCUGGAGUGAAAUGCCGCAGCUUAACUGCGGAACUGCUUUGGAAACUGGCGAACUAGAGUGCGGGAAGGGUAAGCGGAAUUCCUAGUGUAGCGGUGAAAUGCGUAGAUAUUAGGAGGAACACCGGUGGCGAAGGCGGCUUACUGGACCGUAACUGACGUUGAGGCUCGAAAGCGUGGGGAGCAAACAGGAUUAGAUACCCUUGUAGUC
This 458-nucleotide ribosomal RNA is filed under the name uncultured bacterium. RNAcentral's name for it is "partial 16S ribosomal RNA". It matches the Rfam family "Bacterial small subunit ribosomal RNA", at positions 338 to 795 of the family's 1533-position model. The record is from RNAcentral.